AGUGGAUGGGGAGCAACCUAGUUGUGCGUGUGUAAAGGUAGUGCCAAGAAAAGCGAUGAUCAUGUUGAAAAUCAAUUCCCGGUACCCGAGACCGACACAGGUGGGCAAGUAGAGAAUACUAAGGGGCGCGAGGUAACUCUCUCCAAGGAACUCGGCAAAAUGACCCCGUAACUUAGGGAGAAGGGGUGCCACCGAGAGGUGGUCGCAGUGAAGAGGCCCAGGCGACUGUUUAGCAAAAACAUAGGCCUCUGCAAACUCGAAAGAGGAGGUAUAGGGGCUGACGCCUGCCCAGUGCCGGAAGGUUAAAGAAGUUGGUCAGUCUUAGGAUGAAGCUAGCGACUGAAGCCCCGGUGAACGGCGGCCGUAACUAUAACGGUCCUAAGGUAGCGAAAUUCCUUGUCGGGUAAGUUCCGACCCGCACGAAAGGCGUAACGAUCUGGGCGCUGUCUCGGAGAGAGGCUCGGCGAAAUAGGAUUGUCUGUGAAGAUACGGACUACCUGCAUUUGGACAGAAAGACCCUAUGAAGCUUUACUAUAGCUUGGAAUUGUGUUCGGGCUUCCUGUGCGCAGGAUAGGUGGGAGGCGUAGAAGGUAUUCUUGUGGGGAUACUGGAGCCAACGGUGAGAUACCACUCUCAGGAGGCUAGAAUUCUAACUUAAUUAAGGACAGUUUCAGGUGGGUAGUUUGACUGGGGCGGUCGCCUCCAAAAAGGUAACGGAGGCGUACAAAGGUUCCCUCAGACUGGUUGGAAAUCAGUCGAAGAGUGCAAAGGCAGAAGGGAGCUUGACUGCGAGAAGUACAGUUCGAGCAGGGUGGAAACACGGUCUUAGUGAUCCGACGGUGCUGUGUGGAAGGGCCGUCGCUCAACGGAUAAAAGUUACUCUAAGGAUAACAGGCUGAUCUCCCCCAAGAGUUCACAUCGACGGGGAGGUUUGGCACCUCGAUGUCGGCUCAUCGCAACCUGGGGCGGAAGUACGUCCCAAGGGUUGGGCUGUUCGCCCAUUAAAGCGGUACGUGAGCUGGGUUCAGAACGUCGUGAGACAGUUCGGUCCAUAUCCGAUGUAGGCGUGAGAAUAUUGAGAGGAGCCUUCCUUAGUACGAGAGGACCGGGAAGGACGCACCGCUGGUGUACCUGUUAUGAUGCCAUUUGUAAACGCAGGGUAGCCAAGUGCGGAGAGGAUAACCGCUGAAAGCAUCUAAGAGGGAAGCCCACCUCAAGAUGAGUAUUCUGGUGUAAGGUCACGGGAAGACGACCCGUAAAUAGGCACGAGGUGGAAGUGCAGAGAUGUAUGAAGCCGAAGUGUACUAAUAGACCGUCGGCUUGACC
This 1326-nucleotide ribosomal RNA is filed under the name metagenome. RNAcentral describes it as "bacterial LSU rRNA". It matches the Rfam family "Bacterial large subunit ribosomal RNA", at positions 1561 to 2925 of the family's 2925-position model. The record is from RNAcentral.